AACCGCACAUAGUCAGCUAGAUAACCCGGAGCUCUUCUCCCUCUGCUUGUUUUGGGAAUUUCCUCUGGACUUUCUGUUCUUAUUCCUUCAGCUUCCACGUUUCGCCAUGGACGCACCUUCUUCGUUUGAGUGACAUGUCGUCUAAGCAGAUUACCAUCUUUGUCAUUUAAAAAAAUAUCUCAAGUUUUGCCAUUCAAUGAUAUUAAUGCACCAGUUCAUUCAAUAUCAACAUCGUUCUCGGACACUCUCAUACUGUUAUAGAAGUUUAUUCACCUAACCAGUUUUGUCUUUCUAUAUAUGCGAUUGAUUUGCAAACAAUAAUCUACAUUCAUUCAUCAUGUCCGAUUGGAGAACAGGAUUCCUGUGUUUGAUGGCCCGUCCGCGGGAACCGCUCUGCCUCCCAGAGUGCGAGAGGAAGAAUUUGUGGUGGAGCAGUCACAACGAAUGGCCAUUGAUAUUCCGUUGAAUUAUACGGCUUCACAGGCGGAUGUAGAACAACGAAUGGCUUACUUCCGGGAAUAUAUCGGGGUGAAUCUUAAACCUGUUCCGGAGCCCUACUUCCCUAAAAUUUUGAACAGUGCCACAAACAAGACCUAUGCAUCGAGGAAUAGAAAUACAUCGCUAAGCGUAAGGAUUUCGAUAUUUUUGAUGAAAAAUGUUCUAUAAAAAAAUUGAUUACUGCACGUAAAUAGACCAGCUGAUGCAGUUGAAACAAUUUUGGAAAUUGAAAAUUGAUUUAUGGAUGCAGUCCAAUCACGAACAGUAGUUGAGCCGGAUGGUGAGCGCCUCCCUCUCGAAGAUAGUAACGGUAUAAACAUCCUCGGAAAUCUAAUGGAAAAUCUAGUCUACUCUAUUCUAUCUGUGAAUAUACCAUACUAUGGAAAUAUCCAUUCGAUGUUGCAUAAUUUGUUAGGAUUCGCUCAUGAUCCAGACAUUUUGUACCUGGAAGGACCUGGGGGGAUCGGUGAAUUAUCGACAUCGAUUCGUGAUCCCAUUUUCUAUCGACUACAUCAGUUUAUCGAUGAUCUAUUCGAGCAAUACAAAAAAGGGCUUACACUCGAUACUAAGCAAGAACUGGGAUUCCCUGGUGUAACAAUUGGAGACGUUUCGGUGCAAGUUACCAAUGGGAGAGUGGCAGUGAAUCGUCGGCUCACGUCUGAUAGGUUCAUCGAUAAGACGAUUGUUCAGAUGGAAGAUUUCGUGAGAGCAUUUCCCAACAUGAAGCGAACGUCAUCCGUGGGGAAUAUUUUUAACAAUAUGUAUUAGGAACGGUACUCCUGGAUUUGGAUUCAAAUUAAAUUAAGAAAGACAAGAGGUGCAAGAUUGCGUAACUAAAAAUGAGUGGGUUAUAUCUAUGAUAUAACCGCAAGGUUGACGUGGAACUACCUUAGCUUAGCAAUCAUUCGUUUGUAUUGAUUAAAUUCUUGAUUGAAUGAAACAGUUUCCAAAUUCAAUUGAGUUCAAUAUAUUUGCUUUGUGAGCGAAAAAAAUGAACAAAUGCCGUGUAAAGUCAAUUCAUUUAUUGUGAUUGAUUGUUCUUCGUUACAAGUAAAUUUAAUGACGGACCUUUUACGUUUGGUAUGAUGACUAGAACAAAAUAUAUGUACGGAAGAAUUAUCAAACGUUUGAUGAACCAGCCUAAGGCUGAAA
Molecule: RNA transcript, 1650 nt
Organism: Toxorhynchites rutilus septentrionalis
Lineage: Eukaryota; Metazoa; Arthropoda; Insecta; Diptera; Culicidae
Gene name: phenoloxidase 8-like
Exons: 4
Source: RefSeq, a predicted model, not a curated record